AGCUCCAAUAGCGUAUAUUAAAGUUGUUGCAGUUAAAAAGCUCGUAGUUGGAUUUCUGGUUACUUUGGCCUGGUCCGCCCCGUUAAGGGAGUGAGUACCGGAGCCAGUGGGCCAUCCUUCUAGGAAGGGUCUCUACCCUUAAUUGGGCCGGAGGCUCGACUUGGAUCGUUUACUUUGAAGAAAUUAGAGUGUUUAAAGCAGGCUUAUUGCUUUGAAUAUAUUAGCAUGGAAUAAUAAGAUAGGACUCUGAUCCUAUUUUGUUGGUUUCUGGGAUUAGAGUAAUGAUUAAUAGGGACAGUUGGGGGUGCUGGUAUUUAACGGCCAGAGGUGAAAUUCUUGGAUUCGUUAAAGACCAACUUAUGCGAAAGCAUUCACCAAGGAUGUCUUCA
Molecule: ribosomal RNA, 389 nt
Filed under: uncultured eukaryote
Lineage: Eukaryota
Description: SSU rRNA
Rfam family: Eukaryotic small subunit ribosomal RNA
Source: RNAcentral